GUCAGGAUGAGUGCUGGAGGCGUGCAUAUUACAUGCAUGUUGAUCCCCCAGAGAAAGGUGCUUGCACAAAUGAAGAGUGUCGCGAACGUGAGAGUCACACGUGGACAACGCCCAUCAGAGGGGGAGAUCACAUGGAGACACGUAUUAUAACACUGAAUCAAUCGUAGUGUCGCGUGUCACAUAGUUAAGAGGCGCUUGGGUGUCACUGAGAGAUGGAUCCGCGGUGCAUUAGUUAGUUGGUGAGGUAAAGGCUCACCAAGACCAUGAUGCAUAGCCGACUUGAGAGAGUGAUCGGCCACAUUGGGACUGAGACACGGCCCAAACUCCUACGGGAGGCAGCAGUAGGGAAUCUUCCGCAAUGGGCGAAAGUCUGACGGAGCAACGCCGCGUGAGUGAAGAAGGUUUUCGGGUCGUAAAACUCUGUUGUUUGGGAAGAACAGCGAGAAUAGUAACUGUUUUUCCUUUGACGGUAUCUUACCAGAAAGCCACGGCUAAAUACGUGCCAGCAGCCGCGGUAAUACGUAGGUCCCAAGCGUUGUCCGGAUUUAUUGGGCGUAAAGCGAGCGCAGGCGGUUUAUUAAGUCUGAUGUGAAAGCCCCGAGCUCAACUCGGGAGGGUCAUUGGAAACUGGGAAACUUGAGUGCAGAAGAGGAAAGUGGAAUUCCAUGUGUAGCGGUGAAAUGCGUAGAUAUAUGGAAGAACACCAGUGGCGAAGGCGGCUCACUGGACUGCAACUGA
RNAcentral lists this ribosomal RNA (738 nucleotides) under Leuconostoc mesenteroides. Its description in RNAcentral is "bacterial SSU rRNA". It matches the Rfam family "Bacterial small subunit ribosomal RNA", at positions 23 to 743 of the family's 1533-position model. The record is from RNAcentral. Lineage: Bacteria; Bacillati; Bacillota; Bacilli; Lactobacillales; Lactobacillaceae.